GAUGAACGCUAGCGGCAGGCUUAACACAUGCAAGUCGAGGGGUAGUUGUCUUCGGAUAAUGAGACCGGCGCACGGGUGCGUAACGCGUAUGCAAUCUACCUUUUGCAGGGGAAUAGCCCAGAGACAUUUGGAUUAAUGCCCCAUAGUAUAGUGAGUUGGCAUAAACACACUAUUAAAGUAAAAACGGAAAAAGAUGAGCAUGCGUCCCAUUAGUUAGUUGGUAAGGUAACGGCUUACCAAGACUAUGAUGGGUAGGGGUCCUGAGAGGGAGAUCCCCCACACUGGUACUGAGACACGGACCAGACUCCUACGGGAGGCAGCAGUGAGGAAUAUUGGACAAUGGGCGCAAGCCUGAUCCAGCCAUGCCGCGUGCAGGAAGAAGCAUCUAUGGUGUGUAAACUGCUUUUGUACAGGAAGAAACACUCCCUCGUGAGGGAGCUUGACGGUACUGUAAGAAUAAGGAUCAGCUAACUCCGUGCCAGCAGCCGCGGUAAUAC
RNAcentral lists this ribosomal RNA (497 nucleotides) under uncultured bacterium. Its description in RNAcentral is "bacterial SSU rRNA". It matches the Rfam family "Bacterial small subunit ribosomal RNA", at positions 28 to 526 of the family's 1533-position model. The record is from RNAcentral.